AUAGUAGAUGUUAAAUGUCAUGUGUAUAAGAACAGAGAUAGUAUCAGCUAUAAGAGUGUACAGGUCAUGUAAAAAUAGCACUAAAGCUAGCUUCCAUCUAUAAGCUUCUCUCUUAGGCCCUGUCUGGGGUAGCGGUAGCUUUUCCAGAAGCUACUUCCUGGAAAAGCUCUUCUUGGUGGCCCAGGAAGCGCUUCCUGGAGAAGCGAAAGUGAUCUGUUUGGCAACCUUGCUUUUCGCCGCUGUCGAUGUGAGGAUUGAGGAAGACGAGCUCCGGGCGACGGCGCGGCAACGAGGGGGAGCCAGAGAGCGUGGGAGUCGAGAAAAUGGAGGGAGGGGAGGUCGGACCAGCAGCCGCCGUCGAGGAAAGAGAGGCCGGGGUGACGGCGGAUGCCGACGAAAAGGGAGGUCGGGGCGCCGGCGGACAUCGAGGGAAGCUGUUGAAGGAGGGAGACUUGGGCGGUGACAGCAGGAGGGGAACUCGAGGGCGGCGGCGGCCGUAGAGGCAAGGGAGCUCAGGGCAGCUGCCUUCGGUCGUGAGGGGAGAGAGCUCGGCGGCGGCCGUCCAGCAGGGGUAUCCGCGGAUCUCAAGCUCGGAGGACGGACGGCGCCCGGCGGUCUUCAGAUGGAGUGGCGAGGUCGGGAUGAGGCGACGUGAGGACGAAGUGGAGAGGGGGCGGACGCAAGAUCCGUCACGGGGAUGAAAAGCUCGGGAAGCGACGCGGAGGGAGCUUUUCCAAUUUAAAGUUUCAAAAAAAAAAGCUUUCCCAAUUUUAGUACCAAAAACCGGUGCUUUUAACCGCUUAGAGAAGCAACCUGUUUGGGGAGCUUUUGGCUUUUGGAGCUUCCUGGAGAAGCAAAAGCUUCUAAAAGCUUCCCAAACAGGACCGUUGUUAAAAAUGUGGUGAUAAUCGUC
Molecule: long non-coding RNA, 913 nt
Filed under: Setaria italica (foxtail millet)
Lineage: Eukaryota; Viridiplantae; Streptophyta; Magnoliopsida; Poales; Poaceae
Description: long non-coding RNA (SITA_LNC000041)
Source: RNAcentral